GAGUAGUAGUUUAAUUAAAACUACAAGUUGCAAGCUUGUUAUUGUCCUUUAGGUCCUACUCA
Molecule: transfer RNA, 62 nt
Filed under: Elysia ornata (ornate elysia)
Lineage: Eukaryota; Metazoa; Mollusca; Gastropoda; Plakobranchidae
Description: tRNA-Cys
Source: RNAcentral